This 800-nucleotide ribosomal RNA is filed under the name uncultured bacterium. RNAcentral describes it as "bacterial SSU rRNA". It matches the Rfam family "Bacterial small subunit ribosomal RNA", at positions 8 to 803 of the family's 1533-position model. The record is from RNAcentral.
AGAGUUUGAUCCUGGCUCAGAUUGAACGCUGGCGGAAUGCUUUACACAUGCAAGUCGGGCGGCAGCACGGGGGCAACCCUGGUGGCGAGCGGCGAACGGGUGAGUAACACAUCGGAACGUACCCAGUUGUGGGGGAUAGCCCGGCGAAAGCCGGAUUAAUACCGCAUAAGUCCUGAGGGAGAAAGCGGGGGACCGCAAGGCCUCGCGCGACUGGAGCGGCCGAUGUCUGAUUAGCUAGUUGGUGGGGUAAAGGCCCACCAAGGCGACGAUCAGUAGCGGGUCUGAGAGGAUGAUCCGCCACACUGGAACUGAGACACGGUCCAGACUCCUACGGGAGGCAGCAGUGGGGAAUUUUGGACAAUGGGGGCAACCCUGAUCCAGCCAUUCCGCGUGAGUGAAGAAGGCCUUCGGGUUGUAAAGCUCUUUCGGCAGGAACGAAACGGUCACGGCUAAUACCUGUGACUACUGACGGUACCUGAAGAAGAAGCACCGGCUAACUACGUGCCAGCAGCCGCGGUAAUACGUAGGGUGCGAGCGUUAAUCGGAAUUACUGGGCGUAAAGCGUGCGCAGGCGGCUUUUUAAGCCAGAUGUGAAAUCCCCGGGCUUAACCUGGGAACUGCAUUUGGAACUGGAAGGCUAGAGUGCGGCAGAGGGGGGUAGAAUUCCACGUGUAGCAGUGAAAUGCGUAGAGAUGUGGAGGAAUACCGAUGGCGAAGGCAGCCCCCUGGGUCGACACUGACGCUCAUGCACGAAAGCGUGGGGAGCAAACAGGAUUAGAUACCCUGGUAGUCCACGCCCU